Ornithodoros turicata is the source of this 930-nucleotide long non-coding RNA. RefSeq lists it as uncharacterized. The record is from RefSeq and is a predicted model, not a curated record. The transcript has 4 exons. NCBI's taxonomy places the organism in Eukaryota, Metazoa, Arthropoda, Arachnida, Ixodida, Argasidae.
UGUUUGUUGCUCAAGUCGCAACAGAAAGAGAUACACGAGUCAAGAUAAUUGAUCCGAAAACUUGUUUUGCGAAAGGGGUACUUAAGCGAAGUUUUUUCCCGACGACCACAAUGUGGUAUGCUUUUCCUCAAGAUUGCUGUCAAAGUGUUCUCCUCAGAACUCCUGCCAAAGUGUGAUGUUGUGUGGACUGUGUGGUAUAUGCAUGGAUGCAUGAGGCACAGCAAAUCGGAGGACUACAUGGAUGUAUGAAGCACAGCCAUUCAGAGGACUACAUUGAUGCAUGAAGCACAGCAGCUCAGAGUCCUUCACCACUAAAGGCGACGCGAAUUCCAAUGCAAUCCCCGGGCGUUUGCGUUCAACCAACGACUGAUGACCCUGUGCCGAAGGGCCCGUGACCUGUAUUUCCUGGACCAUGGUUUCCACCGACAGCCCCCAACCAGAGUCCUCGCAGCUGACGGCCUCCACCCCAGUUUUGAAGGAGUCACCCAGAUCGCACACCGACUGCGGUCCCUGGUACCCCGGCUGCUCCGUCACCUACCCACACGUACAGCAAGCACUGGAACGCCGGACCCCGUAUGGCCGACACUCCAGGAGGCUGCAGCAUGGACACAAAGAAGCACACGUGCCGAGAAAUCGUUACGAUCCAAGCAGCAGGAUUGACUAGCCGGCUCACGGGUAUUUCCUCAAGGUCCUGCUGCACAGACCCGGUCAUUCCCCUUUCACUUAGUCACCAACCUAUGUUAGUCAUGACAAAAGCGCAUGCGCUGCUCUCUUUCCCUUGUACAUAACCCUCUCCCAUAUAUAAAGCUUGUUCUUGUCACCAAACCCCAGUCCCGUCGAAGGCAGCGCUGACUGCCGAAACGUCGACCCCUAUCCCUAUAUGUCUUAAUAAACUCCCCUUUGUGUUUUCCUGUAAGCUCUUUGUCGUCU